Molecule: transfer RNA, 78 nt
Filed under: Serratia marcescens
Lineage: Bacteria; Pseudomonadati; Pseudomonadota; Gammaproteobacteria; Enterobacterales; Yersiniaceae
Description: tRNA-OTHER
Source: RNAcentral
CCGCCAUUAGCUCAGCGGGAAAGAGCGUGUGACUCACGGUGUUGCAGGUGCGGGGUUCGAGACCUCGAUGGCGGUCCA